RNAcentral lists this unclassified non-coding RNA (399 nucleotides) under Artemisia araxina. Its description in RNAcentral is "partial external transcribed spacer". Lineage: Eukaryota; Viridiplantae; Streptophyta; Magnoliopsida; Asterales; Asteraceae. The record is from RNAcentral.
UGCGGCGUUUGCAACAACUUCCAUGCUUUCAGACCUCUUCAGUUGUGCGGCAAGGCUUGUAUCGCCUUGAGCGUAUUGUGGGUUUUCUGUGUUGGCUACCUAAUCAAUGGUAUCGGUUGGAUUGAUCAAUGYUUCAUUUCGUCUACCGUCGCAUUCGCGGCGUGAGAUGAACCUUGAUGCGGUCUCUUUGAUCCACCUCGUCGAAGCGCAUGCUUUGGCGUUGUGGCACAUUGAGCAUUGCUUGGUCUCUUGUAUACGGAACAUAUAGUGGGCAUGGAUCUAACGAUUCUCGUUUGCCCUCAUAUUAGCGUAACGCUUCUCUUACACGACUUGCUCCACGUUUUAGCUCGUACGGACGUGGUGCUAUGUCGAAGAGGAAUGCUACCUGGUUGAUCCUGC